ACUAUGUGCUAGAAUUCGUUGUUUCCCAUUUCUCUCAGCCUCCUACUUCAGCCCAUCUACUGCGAUGUCCCCCUCCUGCGGGCAUCAACAAUCCUGUUGGUGGACUGUAAGCAGAAGAAAAAGAUUGAAACAGCUGAUCAUAUGCAAACCAAGAAGAAACAGAAUCGAAAGAAAAUUCGGGACAACGUUGUACUGAUCAGCGCAACCAUCACCUCAUAAUUGAAUUUUUGCUUGUUGUCUUCCAUAUCUAUCAUACUGUAUAUGAUAUCCCACUCCUACAAAGCUCACACCACUAUGAACUGAGAUAGUCGUACACCCAUAAGAUUUUUGCACACUAUCUUUCAAGAAACAGCAAGGCCACAAUAAUUGAUCAUGCUCAUGUCCAAACCCAGCAACUCUUCUAUUAUGCAUCAAGAUGAUUUAUAUCAACUACAAAUAUUCGCUUGUCCAUUUCAUCAGAGAGGUUAUAAGCAUAAUGCCAUUGGAAAAAAAAGAUAAGAAUGGACAGCAUACCUUUGUUAUGGUGAUGAGAGCUAAUUUUAUAGGAAAUGCACCCAGGAGACACAAGCCUCAGUCUAUAUAUGUACCUGUCAUGGCAAUAAUGUGAAGAGAAAUGAAGUUGAAUAUAACAGACCAAAUACCCAAUUGAGUAUCAAAAUAACAUAAAUUGUAAAGUAGUGGGAUGAAAAUACCAACCUGUAUUUCUUCAGUAUAGGCAACCAGUUCUAGAGCUAAUGGUACAUUUUAAGCUCGAACGUACAUACACAGCACACCUAAUUUGACUAAGUUCAACUGAUGCCGCAAAACCAGCUCCUUCA
This 818-nucleotide long non-coding RNA is filed under the name Triticum aestivum (bread wheat). Its description in RNAcentral is "long non-coding RNA (TAES_LNC008071)". The record is from RNAcentral. Lineage: Eukaryota; Viridiplantae; Streptophyta; Magnoliopsida; Poales; Poaceae.